CCUAACCCUCCUACACCUCUUCUUCCCAAAGUAUCCAAUUCACCUAAUGCUUCGCCCCAUUUAACACCCCCUCCUAAGCUAAGACAUGCAGAGGUUUUAUUAAUCAAAUAGAAUUCCACCUUGAGAUGUAUCCACGUUCCUUUCCCACUGAUAGGUCUAAAGUGGGAUUUUUGAUGCAUUAACUUACUGACAAAGCACUUGAGUGGGCAAAUCCUAUUUGGGAGGCCAAUGGACCUAUGGUGCAUAAUUUCAAUAGCUUUCUUACGGCUUUUCGUAGAACUUUUGACACAACAAAAAGGUCAAAGAAUGCCGCAAGAGCAUUAAUGAGAAAUAAACAGGGUUUUAGGUCUGUGGCUGAUUAUGCUAUUCAGUU
Non-coding RNA from Pelobates cultripes (western spadefoot toad), 373 nucleotides. NCBI's taxonomy places the organism in Eukaryota, Metazoa, Chordata, Amphibia, Anura, Pelobatidae. The record is from the annotation of a GenBank genome assembly.